UCUAUGGCUUGAGGUCACAGUGCAGAACCCCUCUGGCAUGGACCUCAAUCACGCCUUCAACUAGCUGCCUUAGAAGUACCUGCAGACUCUUUUGGGUGGGGAUGGAGAAGGUGGAGUGGCCAGUGCUUCAGCUGGAGCUCCAGGACACUGAGGAUGUUGUGUCUUUUGGAACUGGGCCUGAUUUUACAGAACAGAAACAAAACAGUUCAUGGUAGCUGUAUCAAUUUAUCCAAUAAAGUAGAUCUACAGGUCUUACU
Long non-coding RNA from Astyanax mexicanus (Mexican tetra), 257 nucleotides. RefSeq lists it as uncharacterized. The record is from RefSeq and is a predicted model, not a curated record. Lineage: Eukaryota; Metazoa; Chordata; Actinopteri; Characiformes; Acestrorhamphidae. The transcript is spliced from 2 exons.